GCCCCUUGUCCUAUCAGUGGAUGUCCCUGAGAAGAGCCUGGCUCCAUCCUCCUGACACUGACCCUUUACAUAUUUAUAAACAUUAAUGAGGUUACCUCUCAGUCUCCUCUUCUCCAAAUGCUAUAUAUAAGAAUAAAUGUAUUGGUAAAUACAUAUAUAACCAGUAAAUUUUAAAAGUUAUAUUUAAAUAUGCUAUAAAUAUAUCUAUGUGUAAAUAUAUUACACUUAAAUACAUGCAUUUAUAAAAAUAUAAUGUCUCAGUCACCCCUCAUGACUGUCUUAAAAUAGAGGUUGUGUGGUAUGACAAUAUUACAAUUAGUGUAAAAAAAAAAAAAUUCUGGCAGCUUGAUAUUCCAGCAAUAGUUGUUCGUUGAUGGAAGCUGUGUGAUGGAUGCCUGAACUCGUGCUGUGUUAUAGCCAUCUCAUUUGAGGAAUGUUGUACUUUAUUUCUCAGGCCACAUAUGGAUGUAAUCAACGCUCACAACAAACUGGUAGAACUCCUAGUUCUAAGCCUUUUCCUUGAAGGCUGUCUUCACGGGAGCAUGUUUUUCAUUUCAGCUGAAAUGAAAAACCCAAGAAAACCCAAUAGUGUAUUCUGUGUUUGUAUUUUAGAUACAAGUUUGUUAAUGAUGUCUUGGGAGAUAUACUUAUGUUGUUCAUGAAUAUUCUCAAUGUUUUCUGGAGUAACAUCGUUCCGUAACUUCUAUCUUACCAUUUGCUGUCUAAUAUUUCGUGUCAUCAGAGGCUCUGUGAGCUUCUUAUGGUGACUCUGACUUUCACACUACUUCAUCUUCUUUCACGUGACUCUCUUUUUCUGCUAAUUCAUUCUGCUUCACGUUCAUCAAGGAUGUCAGUCAUUCCCAGGCCCUCAAGCCCAGCAAAAUUAUAAAAUGAGAUGCCAGUAAAAGUUAUACAAUUGGAGGAAAAUGAGGGAAGAGUUGACAAGGUGGAUCUAUGUGGCACCAAGGUGAAUCAGCAAUCCUGGGAGAAAUGAGAAAACAAGAAGGAACAAGCUCUUGCCCAGAUCAGGGUUCCAGUGCAUUCACACUUACUGCUGCAUCUUCGUCCAUAAAAUGUCGUGUCUUUUAGUAUGGAAGUCAGUGUAAUGUUCUCCCUCUGACAUAACUGGAUGGUGGCUCUGAGUCUCAAGAGUUGGUUUGUAAGCUAGGAAUGCUGCUCUGAAAGGUACCAUCCAUUAUUUCUUCAGUGUUGCUGUGGGGGAGAAAAUUGUUUGUCACCAUACAGCACCAAACUCAAUAUUUUUGUAGCAGUCUGUUACUCUGUCCCACUAUGAGCAUGCAUUUAUUUUCUCUUAAUUCUGCGCUUGCUCAUAAAAAUGUGGGAGGUGGGAAGGCGGUGUUCACUGUUUUCUUUCUUGUAUCUCUAAGAUAAGCAAAUGCAAUUUAAAAGACAGUUUAAUUCCAUGCCCUUCUUUCCACCUUAUUUUGCUCUUAUUUCUGUUGGCCAGCUUGUAGCAGAAUAAUGCAUGUAGGCGUCAAUUUUAUGCAUCUUUAAAUCCGAACUCUGUGGAUAAUACUUCAGUUUGAUGUGCAGCCUGGCCCAUAUUUGGGACUGGCCUAUCGUACCACAGCAAUUUAUUUAUCACGUUGUUUACUAAAUCAUUCAUAUACUUUGGAUGUGGCUGCCAACAAAGUUUAAACAGUGAUUUCAUUACCCAGAAGCAUCAGAUCCCAAUCAGGAAUAUGUCACGGGGUUGUCAUCCUCUGGCAUAGUUGGAGAGAAAAGGCAGAGCUUACAACUUAUCUGAAUUGCAAAAAAGGUAUCUUCACAAGGGAUGAUAUUUUGCCUUUAUUAUCACACAGAAUUUUCUAUCAACAAUCUUUAUGGUUCCAUUUUAAACUUACUUUUAUUCAUGGGAUAAAUGACCACAUCAUUAGUUAUUUGUCCUUAAUUCCCUACUUACCUGUCCUCUUCCUUGCCACCGCUAUGCAUUUCUGUCUUCUUAUCUUGGUACCUAAUUUAUCUGUUUCUUUCACACAUUUCUCUGGGCUUUCUUCCACUGCAGUCUUUGGUAUGGGAAUCUUUUCUUGACCUGGCACAUAAACUUGCUAAUUUUUCAGUCAUGACUUUUCUGAGGACUUAUUUCUGCUUUGAGCAAUUUCAGAAGUUUCUCUAAAAGGCAGUAGUUUUAAUUCUUGCUACAUAAACAAUUUAUUUUCAGCUCAUCUGCCACUGACAGUAGACUUCAUUGAUUAUUGCCUUGUGCUCCCGCUACUAGUCUUGUUCCUCUUGUUUCCUUACCUAUUUAUUACACUGUUUUAAGAGUUGGGAAGUGCUUUUGGACAGGGAUUAUGCCACUAUUUCUUCUGGGAAAUGAUGAACUUGUGAGCUGUGUCAUCAUCACUCUCUUCCUGAUAUUUGUCAACUUUAUGCUUUGCCUUUUUUUUUAACCCUAAUAAUAUACUUAACUCUUAAAAAGCUAAAGUUUACCUCAAGAAUUUGCUGUCAACUCUAAUGAAAAACACAGUUUUUCUGAGCAGAGAUUGCAGGACCAGUCCUGGGGUUUGUGGCACUCCCGGGCAGCAAAUUCCGAAAAGUCAUCUGGAGAGUUUCAGAAAAGUCUUCUGAAGAGGAAGUGAGGGAGCUGACGCAAGAAGAAGUUACUGUGAAGUGCAAAAUUUAUUUGAGCGUCCUGGGAAAGACUUUUCUCUCUUACCGGUAAAAGCACCUCCAUUUCUUUUUUGGUUCUUUUUCUUGGCCUUUUGUCAGGACUACAGUCAAUAGAUGUCGGCAAGCAGACACUGAUUUACCAUAACUCAGCCCCCAAUGCCUCCCAGCUGCAAGAAGCUUUUUAUGAGGGGCUUCAUGUAAACCAGAUACUCAUAUUGACCAUGAGUUCUUGUGGUGUGUGGAUUAUUAAUUUAAAUUGUUUUACAUUGUUCAAGAUUUUAAAUGUACUUUGAAGGAAUUAAAGUUUACAGUUGAAUUGUAA
Molecule: long non-coding RNA, 2953 nt
Organism: Numida meleagris (helmeted guineafowl)
Lineage: Eukaryota; Metazoa; Chordata; Aves; Galliformes; Numididae
Exons: 2
Source: RefSeq, a predicted model, not a curated record